GGAGUUAGCCGGUGCUUCUUCUGUGAGUGAUGUCCUUCCUGCCGGCUAUUAACCCGCAGGCCUUCUUCCUCACUGAAAGUGCUUUACAACCCGAAGGCCUUCUUCACACACGCGGCAUGGCUGGAUCAGGGUUGCCCCCAUUGUCCAAUAUUCCCCACUGCUGCCUCCCGUAGGAGUCUGGGCCGUGUCUCAGUCCCAGUGUGGCUGAUCAUCCUCUCAGACCAGCUACGGAUCGUCGCCUUGGUGAGCCGUUACCUCACCAACCAGCUAAUCCGACAUAGGCUCAUCCGAUAGCGCGAGGCCCGAAGGUCCCCCGCUUUCCCCCGUAGGGCGUAUGUGGUAUUAGCCUGGGUUUCCCCAGGUUAUCCCCCACUACCGGGCAGAUUCCUAUGCAUUACUCACCCGUCCGCCGCUCGCCACCAGGGAGCAAGCUCCCCGUGCUGCCGCUCGACUUGCAUGUGUUAGGCCUGCCGCCAGCGUUCAAUCUGAGCCAGGAUCAAACUCUGA
Molecule: ribosomal RNA, 507 nt
Filed under: uncultured bacterium
Lineage: Bacteria
Description: partial 16S ribosomal RNA
Source: RNAcentral